Molecule: unclassified non-coding RNA, 705 nt
Filed under: Bradyrhizobium sp.
Lineage: Bacteria; Pseudomonadati; Pseudomonadota; Alphaproteobacteria; Hyphomicrobiales; Nitrobacteraceae
Description: partial 16S-23S ribosomal RNA intergenic spacer region
Rfam family: Bacterial large subunit ribosomal RNA (bases 603-705)
Source: RNAcentral
GUUAGAGCGCGCGCUUGAUAAGCGUGAGGUCGGAAGUUCAAGUCUUCCCAGGCCCACCACUUUGAUCGAGCGCACUACGUCUCAAUAUCGACGUAAAGCAUUCGUCUUCUGGUACGGGGCCAUAGCUCAGCUGGGAGAGCGCGUGCUUUGCAAGCAUGAGGUCGUCGGUUCGAUCCCGUCUGGCUCCACCAGAUGGAAUUGAAGAUCGACAAAGUGCCCUGCUAACAAAGCGCCUUUCAUAUCGUCCGCGAAACAUCACUUCGCACGCAUUGUCCGGAUGGACAGUGACGUGCGUGAUAUCUGACAUCGUAAAGAGGAGAUCGAUCCGAGUUUGGGAUCUGCAAAGCAAUUUGCGGGCUCUCAUUCCUAAUCUCCAGAUCAUUUCGGCGCUCGCUCAUCGCAAGAUGAAUGAGUUGUAAAUGAUCUUUGUAGCGAAGCUUGACCGCCUCGCUAUCGGUUCGAUCUUACGAAGCAAGCUGGUCUUUCUAAUCAGUGUCCAGCCGCAUGCAGCAUUUAUCGAGGGUGCGCGCCUUUUGACUUCGGUCUUGAGGCAAGUGUGCGGACAACAUUCUGCCGAGUGUGUGGACAUUGAUAAUGAGAGCAAUCAAGUGCCUUAAGGGUGUUCGGUGGAUGCCUUGGCGCUGAGAGGCGAUGAAGGACGUGCUACGCUGCGAUAAGCCGUGGGGAGCUGCGAAGAAGCUUUGA